UACGAAGGGGGCUAGCGUUGCUCGGAAUCACUGGGCUUAAAGGGUGCGUAGGCUGCGAGGAGGGUGGGGUGUGAAAUCCCUCGGCUUAACCGAGGAAUUGCGCUCCAAACCGCCUUGCUGGAGUGAGACAGAGGUGAGCGGAACUAAUGGUGGAGCGGUGAAAUGCGUUGAUAUCAUUAGGAACACCAGAGGCGAAGGCGGCUCACUGGGUCUCAACUGACGCUGAUGCACGAAAGCUAGGGUAGCGAACGGG
RNAcentral lists this ribosomal RNA (253 nucleotides) under uncultured bacterium. RNAcentral's name for it is "partial 16S ribosomal RNA". It matches the Rfam family "Bacterial small subunit ribosomal RNA", at positions 524 to 776 of the family's 1533-position model. The record is from RNAcentral.